UGUGUGUGUGUGUGUGUGUGUGUGUGUGUAUGUGUAUCAAGCUUCUUAGUGGUCAGCUAUUCUCAUCACCCAAAGCAAAGGGCUUGACCCUUUGUGUUAGACAUCACAAGUGCCACAUUCUAUCAGAGUGGUGGGAUAAAUAUGCCAUCUUCCCCCUUCCCUGUUGAAAUCACCUGUUGCUUCCGGACUGCCUAAUCAGGGAACUGCUCUUUACCUUCAACAGCAAUAAGCUAAAAAAGCAGUACCUUCUUAAGACAAAAUCAAGACACAGAGGAAAUGGAGGGUAAGAAACAACUUGCAGAUGGAUGAUCCAAGGAGCUAAAGUUCCUCUGGAAUUAAAGAGGGUGGCAGAGAAAAGAAAUCAGGCAUCUCUUGUGGACUGCUUAGAUAUGAUUUGGUGAAGAAAAUGCUGAUGUCGCUUAAACAUCUCCACCUGGAGGUUCUACAGAUCGGUACUUAAAACUGAAUGUGCUCAAAACUGCGCAGAAUAGCAUCCUCCUCCUAAUCUUUCAGCAUCAGCCAUCUUCCACUCAGUUGCCUGAACUGAAAGUGUGGAGUAUUCCACAGAGUCUGCAUCUUCCAGCAGUGUGCCUCUCACCCUGAUGCUAGAAUGACCCUCUACAAACUGUCCUAACUUGCUUGUUACCUCUUAUUCCUCAUCCUUCCUCACUUGAAUUUUUCUAGAUCCUACUAACGUCCUUCCCUCUUAUCAUUUGACUCUGCUUGGGCAUCUUUCUCAAUUUCAAACCCAAUCCAAUCCCUCUUCUAAGGAAAUCAAUCUUUCUGUAGCCCCUUUAUUCAUUUUAGAGACAAUUCCAACAUCUGAGCAUGUGCUAUGAAGUUUCUAAGAGUGGACCAGGAGUAUGGAGUUAUGAGUGUAGCUCAACAUAAAAUUAUUUAAAAUAUUGUGAAAAUUUUUUGUGGGUUUUUUUUUUCUGGUAACUGGAUUGUGUGAUUCUCGAGUGUGAACUCUGCAGAUGAAAACACCUUGUUUUAAUGUCAAAAGAUUGAACAAACUUGGUUCUUGGCCACCUUGUCCACUCUCCCUUGACUGAGCUAACCCUGGAAUCACAUUUCUGAGCUCUUCUGUCCCUUUCACACUCAGCUCCAUGUUUCUUCUUCUAGAAGUACACCUAGAGCCAGCCCUGUUACAUGCUUGUGAUGGGCUCUUCCAGUUCCACAUAAUGCCUGAAAUGACAGGCUGGACUCUUUUUUUUUUUUUUUUUUUUUUUAUGUUGGGAA
Molecule: long non-coding RNA, 1242 nt
Organism: Nannospalax galili (Upper Galilee mountains blind mole rat)
Lineage: Eukaryota; Metazoa; Chordata; Mammalia; Rodentia; Spalacidae
Exons: 2
Source: RefSeq, a predicted model, not a curated record